AACGAACGCUGGCGGCAUGCCUAACACAUGCAAGUCGAACGAGACCUUCGGGUCUAGUGGCGCACGGGUGCGUAACGCGUGGGAAUCUGCCCUUGGGUUCGGAAUAACAGUUGGAAACGACUGCUAAUACCGGAUGAUGACGUAAGUCCAAAGAUUUAUCGCCCAAGGAUGAGCCCGCGUAGGAUUAGCUAGUUGGUGGGGUAAAGGCUCACCAAGGCGACGAUCCUUAGCUGGUCUGAGAGGAUGAUCAGCCACACUGGGACUGAGACACGGCCCAGACUCCUACGGGAGGUAGCAGUGGGGAAUAUUGGACAAUGGGCGAAAGCCUGAUCCAGCAAUGCCGCGUGAGUGAUGAAGGCCUUAGGGUUGUAAAGCUCUUUUACCCGGGAUGAUAAUGACAGUACCGGGAGAAUAAGCUCCGGCUAACUCCGUG
Molecule: ribosomal RNA, 433 nt
Filed under: uncultured bacterium
Lineage: Bacteria
Description: partial 16S ribosomal RNA
Rfam family: Bacterial small subunit ribosomal RNA
Source: RNAcentral